RNAcentral lists this ribosomal RNA (143 nucleotides) under Bacillus inaquosorum. Its description in RNAcentral is "partial 16S ribosomal RNA". It matches the Rfam family "Bacterial small subunit ribosomal RNA", at positions 1 to 140 of the family's 1533-position model. The record is from RNAcentral. Lineage: Bacteria; Bacillati; Bacillota; Bacilli; Caryophanales; Bacillaceae.
UUAUCGGAGAGUUUGAUCCUGGCUCAGGACGAACGCUGGCGGCGUGCCUAAUACAUGCAAGUCGAGCGGACAGAUGGGAGCUUGCUCCCUGAUGUUAGCGGCGGACGGGGGAGUAACACGUGGGUAACCUGCCUGUAAGACUG